RNAcentral lists this ribosomal RNA (303 nucleotides) under uncultured bacterium. Its description in RNAcentral is "partial 16S ribosomal RNA". It matches the Rfam family "Bacterial small subunit ribosomal RNA", at positions 507 to 808 of the family's 1533-position model. The record is from RNAcentral.
AGCAGUAGCCGCGGGAAUACGUAGGUCCCGAGCGUUGUCCGGAUUUAUUGGGCGUAAAGCGAGCGCAGGCGGUUAGAUAAGUCUGAAGUUAAAGGCUGUGGCUUAACCAUAGUACGCUUUGGAAACUGUUUAACUUGAGUGCAAGAGGGGAGAGUGGAAUUCCACGUGUAGCGGUGAAAUGCGUAGAUAUAUGGAGGAACACCGGUGGCGAAAGCGGCUCUCUGGCUUGUAACUGACGCUGAGGCUCGAAAGCGUGGGGAGCAAACAGGAUUAGAUACCCCUGUAGUCCCUGUCUCUUAUACA